This 253-nucleotide ribosomal RNA is filed under the name uncultured bacterium. Its description in RNAcentral is "partial 16S ribosomal RNA". It matches the Rfam family "Bacterial small subunit ribosomal RNA", at positions 524 to 776 of the family's 1533-position model. The record is from RNAcentral.
CACGUAGGGCGCGAGCGUUGUCCGGAAUUAUUGGGCGUAAAGAGCUCGUAGGCGGUCAGUCGCGUCUGCUGUGAAAACUCGGGGCUUAACUCCGGGCCUGCAGUGGGUACGGGCUGACUAGAGUGCGGUAGGGGAGACUGGAAUUCCUGGUGUAGCAGUGAAAUGCGUAGAUAUCAGGAGGAAUACCGAUGGCGAAGGCAGGUCUCUGGGCUGACACUGACGCUCAUGCACGAAAGCGUGGGGAGCAAACAGG